AAUGAACGUUGGCGGCGUGGAUUAGGCAUGCAAGUCGAGCGAGAUAGGUUUGGUGCUUGCAUUAAACCUUGAAAGCGGCGAAAGGGAGAGUAACGCGUAGGACACCUACCCUCAGGCCUGGGAUAGCGGCGGGAAACUGCCGGUAAUACCGGAUAAUGUCUCCGGACCAAAGGUGUGAUUCCGCCUGGGGAUGGUCCUGCGUCCUAUUAGUUAGUUGGUGAGGUAAUGGCUCACCAAGACUAUGAUGGGUAGCGGGCGUGAGAGCGUGGCCCGUCUCACUGGGACUGAGACACUGCCCAGACACCGUACGGGAGGCAG
This 318-nucleotide ribosomal RNA is filed under the name uncultured Planctomycetota bacterium. RNAcentral's name for it is "bacterial SSU rRNA". It matches the Rfam family "Bacterial small subunit ribosomal RNA", at positions 29 to 351 of the family's 1533-position model. The record is from RNAcentral. Lineage: Bacteria; Pseudomonadati; Planctomycetota.